GCCUUUGUAGCUUAAUUGGUUAAAGCAAUCGCUUGAAGCGCGAUUGAUGCGAGUUCAAUUCUCGACGUAGGCA
This 73-nucleotide transfer RNA is filed under the name Yamadazyma jaroonii. RNAcentral's name for it is "[Candida] jaroonii transfer RNA-Phe(GAA)". It matches the Rfam family "tRNA". Rfam says of the family: Transfer RNA (tRNA) molecules are approximately 80 nucleotides in length. Their secondary structure includes four short double-helical elements and three loops (D, anti-codon, and T loops). Lineage: Eukaryota; Fungi; Ascomycota; Pichiomycetes; Serinales; Debaryomycetaceae. The record is from RNAcentral.